UCUGUUGCCCAGGGCAAGUGCCCUCAAAACCCUCCGUAAAGUACGGUCUUAGUUUGGUUAACGCAGUAAGUUGGAGGUUUGAAAGGUAGAAGAAUGGUAUAUGGCUAUUUAAUACACACUAAAAGUUACGACAAAUCAUUGUGAUCAGAAAACAAUUUUGAGCGUAGUAGUAUUAAUAGUACUGCAGACUGCAGUAUAAGUGCUAGUGUUAU
This is a non-coding RNA of Cinara cedri, 212 nucleotides long. The record is from the annotation of a GenBank genome assembly. Lineage: Eukaryota; Metazoa; Arthropoda; Insecta; Hemiptera; Aphididae.